Molecule: long non-coding RNA, 2938 nt
Organism: Doryrhamphus excisus (bluestripe pipefish)
Lineage: Eukaryota; Metazoa; Chordata; Actinopteri; Syngnathiformes; Syngnathidae
Source: RefSeq, a predicted model, not a curated record
CUCACCUGGAUUCUGGGAAUUUGGUGAGGGUGGCCAGGCUGCUGGUGUACAUGUGUCCCCCCACGUCGAUGUGUACGGGGGCGUUGGACUUGGUGAGCUGCGCUGGCGUGGGGAUGCCCUGGUUGCUCAAGGGGGACACAGGCGACCGUGUGAUCAUGGGCCUGGACAUGCUGGAGCGAUUAUCCUGAUAAGACAAGAGAAAGGCAAACGGCACCUGCCAAACGCGAGGACGUGGUUCGGUAGCACGGCUGGGAGAACGUGGCUGUCUGGCGAAGCAGCUCGCUUGCAAUGGCUGGGAGAAGUCAAAGCCCCCGACAACAUUAGCAUCGCAGCGCCCGGGGCUCUUCCAAUCGAGGCUGUCGCUCUUUCAGUGGCAGCAGAAGGCAAGGGGAGCUGCAGGGCAAACGGGAGAGAAAUCACAUGGCUGCUCUUCAAAAGGGGACCUGUGUAAGGCAGCCGGCAAAGUGCGUGGGAUCACACUCAGAAUGCAGGCUUGGCACCAGCUGAAAAGACGCCAUUGAUGGAGGACCAAACAUUCAUCUGCUUCCUCCUGACCUGUUACCUCGCUUCUACAGAUAAGUUUGUACAUCAAAAAGUUUGUGUUUUUACCGUACAUUUAGAUAUGUGGGCGUUCCUCUUGACAGUUUUUUUUAAUAUAAAUAACUGCCAAUUAUAAAAAAGUCUUGACAUAAUUCUCAUAAUCAAAGCACGCAGUAGGCUGGCUCACGUGCAGGUACAUAUAUGUGAACUGAAUGUAAUCACUGGGGUACUUUUCCCACCAGUUAUUAAUUGAUCACUGCCACCUCUCAAAAUAGAAAGACUCAAAAUCAUCCAUUAGUAAAAACUACAGUAUGCUUUCUCAUGCAUGUGUACUACAGACAUGGACGAUCGCUCAUGCUUUGAUGUGCUAUGUUCAUGUCGGGUAAUUAAUGCACCCAAUAUGUGCCACGUUGCGUAAUAAACAUAUACAACAAAGUCGCCAUGGGCAUGUGACUAUGUGUGCUAUGCACCGCUCCACAGCCAUCCAUUUUCUGUACCGCUUAUCGUCACUAGGUUCAUGGGUAUACUGGAGCCUAUCCCAGUUGUCUUUGGCCAAGAGGCGGGGUACACCCUGGACUGGUCGCCAACCAAUCACAGGGCACAUAUAGACAAACAACCAUUCACACUCACAUACAUACCUAAGGACCACUCAUUACACAUAAUUAAUACUAAUAAAAAGUAACGGGAACUACUCGAAAUAAGCCAGAAAGUCACAGCCUACAGUAUUUAUUAAUACUAACCAUCACCAGAAAUAAACAGAACAAGUAAAGAAAGUUGCAACAAUCUCUCAAAUGUGAAUUUUCUUUAUAUCCUCAAUGAUUCAUGAGAGCACCUAUUAUAUUAUGUUUUUUUUUGCCUCUAUUCUUAUAUGUUGAGGACCAAACCACUAACUGUUUGUUUGGAUCAUAUUGAUUUGGUCUGACUAGAACAGGGGUCUUUAAUUGAAAUUGAUUAAGGUCUGUUUAUGCAAUUUAUUUCACUGGGCCAUAUUUACUUUAAAAUUGCAUGAAGCAGAGUAGUUCAUGUGAAUAUCAAAUGUAAUAAAACUCUGCACAUCACCCUAAAAGUGCUUUUCAAAUAACAGGGGGGCGUGAGGCAGGGAGGACUUUCAAUAUUAGUGUAGACUUGCCAACAUGUAGUAUGAAUAAUGUCGUACUCAGCAUGCAAUUUAAAUAUGCUUGUACCUGGAUGCUCUACUGCUCUCAAUUUUGUUGCAUUUUGCUGGUUUCAGUUUCAAGUUCAGUCUGUAUAGUACAAAUAAAUAAACAGACAUUAUCAGUUUCUAAAUAGUAUUUAAAAAAUAGGGGGUACGAAAAUAUUUCUGUCCUCCCAGUGGGGGCAUGACCUAAAGUAAUUAAGAACCACUGCUCUACAAGACAUAUUUUGGCAUCUAAAUUGCAUUUAGUAGAAAAACAAAUUUCACAUAAUAAGUCUGCCUGUGGGCGGCACGGCGGUCGAGUGGUUAGCGCUCACAGCUAGAAGACCAGGGUUCAAUUCCACCCUCUGCCAUCUCUGUGUGGAGUUUGCAUGUUCUCCCCGUGCAUGCGUGGGUUUUCUCUGGGUACUCCGGUUUCCUCCCACAUUCCAAAAACAUGCUAGGUUAAUUGGCUACUCCAAAUUGUCCAUAGGUAUGAAUGUGAGUGUGAAUGGUUGUUUGUCUAUAUGUGCCCUGUGAUUGGCUGGCGACCGGUCCGGGGUGUACCACGCCUCUCGCCCGAAGACAGCUGGGAUAGGCUCCAGCAACCCCCGCGACCCUCGUGAGGACAAGCAGUAGAAGAUGAAUGAAUGAAUAUUUGAACAUUAUGGCAUAGGCCGCACGGUGGUGAUUGGUUAGCAUGUAGGCACCACAGUCAGGAAGACCUGUGUUCGAUUCUCCACUUGGGCAUGUUGUGGAAAAUUUCUAUUAGCACCGGUGGAGAGAAGAAAUUAACUGCUCAACGACAGAUCUGUUUUUUAUGGGUAUUUAUUCUGCAGAAUGUUGAAACAGACAGUUGAGCGUCUGCCGCAAGUGUCCCCCCGAAGGACAGGACAGAAGCAUAGUUAUACAAACAUUAUCAGGACUUUACCAGGUGCAAGGACAUAUCCCGGGUUAAUCAGAACCUAUUGACACGAAAAACGCCAUUGGAGAAACUUGUUUUGGAUGCAGAGGGGCUCAAGGCACAAGCAAAUAGUCAUAAGACAGCAUUGGUUGUUCUGCUAGGAAAUCACUCUAACCUUGAUGAGCACAUUAACUGACCUAAUGCUAAAAUAGAAGAAUUCCAUCACAGGCAUCUCUGUGUGGAGUUUGCAUGUUCUCCUUGUGCAUGCGUGGGUUUUCUCCGGGUACUCCGGUUUCCUCCCACAUUCCAAAAACAUGCUAGGUUAAUUGGUGACUCCAAAUUGUCCAUAGGUAUGAAUG